AGACUCACAUCCGAGGCCUUGUAAUUGGAAUGAGUACACUUUAAAUCCUUUAACAAGGAUCAAUUGGAGGGCAAGUCUGGUGCCAGCAGCCGCGGUAAUUCCAGCUCCAAUAGCGUAUAUUAAAGUUGUUGCGGUUAAAACGUUCGUAGUUGAACUUGUGUUUCGCACGGGCAGUACCUAGGACUAGGCGACUAGGACGGUACCUGUCUUAUCUUUCCUUGUCUUUCAUUGGAUUUGGAAAAAGUGCGUGAACGUAUUAUCGGCGUGUUCGUUCUUGUAACGUUCACAUAAGCCCAUUUCAGUGCUCUUGACCGAGUGUUGUUGUGGGCCGAUACAAAUUACUUUGAACAAAUUAGAGUGCUUAAAGCAGGCUUGUAAUGCCUGAAUAUUUUGUGCAUGGAAUAAUGAAAUAGGACAUCUGUUCUACUUUCAUUGGUUUUUUAGACCAAGAUGUAAUGAUUAAUGGAAGCAGUUGGGGGCAUUAGUAUUACAACGCGAGAGGUGAAAUUCUUAGACCGUUGUAAGACUGACUAAAGCGAAAGCAUUUGCCAAAGAUGUUUUCAUUUAAUCAAGAACGAAAGUUAGAGGUUCGAAGGCGAUCAGAUACCGCCCUAGUUCUAACCAUAAACGAUGCCAGCUAGCAAUUGAGUGUAGCUACUACUAUGGCUCUUUCAGUCGCUUCUCGGGAAACCAAAGCUUUUGGGCUCCGGGGGAAGUAUGGUUGCAAAGCUGAAACUUAAAGGAAUUGACGGAAGGGCACCACCAGGAGUGGAGCCUGCGGCUUAAUUUGACUCAACACGGGAAAACUUACCAGGUCCGAACAUAAAUGAGUAAGACAGAUUGAUA
RNAcentral lists this ribosomal RNA (846 nucleotides) under Synapha vitripennis. Its description in RNAcentral is "bacterial SSU rRNA". It matches the Rfam family "Eukaryotic small subunit ribosomal RNA", at positions 488 to 1253 of the family's 1831-position model. Lineage: Eukaryota; Metazoa; Arthropoda; Insecta; Diptera; Mycetophilidae. The record is from RNAcentral.